GUGGCCAUAGCUCAAUUGGUUAGAGCGUCGGUUUGUGGCACCGAAGGUUGUGGGUUCAAGUCCCUCUGGCCACCCCA
Molecule: transfer RNA, 77 nt
Filed under: bacterium
Lineage: Bacteria
Description: tRNA-His
Rfam family: tRNA
About the family: Transfer RNA (tRNA) molecules are approximately 80 nucleotides in length. Their secondary structure includes four short double-helical elements and three loops (D, anti-codon, and T loops).
Source: RNAcentral